This 16-nucleotide small RNA is filed under the name Arabidopsis thaliana (thale cress). RNAcentral describes it as "ATSL120070". Lineage: Eukaryota; Viridiplantae; Streptophyta; Magnoliopsida; Brassicales; Brassicaceae. The record is from RNAcentral.
CAAGUCACAACCAAAA